UUAACUAUUAUAUAGUACUCAGACGACACAUAAACAGGUUUUGGUUAGGUCUCUGGCGAGCACUCACAAGCCGAAGCCUGUGGCAAGAUGCGUCCCGCCAAAGCAACAAGAGAAUAGAUAUCAAGGGUGGGAGAUCUACCCGUAAGGGCAAGAACUCUGUAAUGAUCCUUCCGCAGGUUCACCUACGGAAA
RNAcentral lists this unclassified non-coding RNA (191 nucleotides) under uncultured fungus. Its description in RNAcentral is "sequence contains ITS1, 5.8S rRNA gene". The record is from RNAcentral. Lineage: Eukaryota; Fungi.